Long non-coding RNA from Raphanus sativus (radish), 346 nucleotides. RefSeq lists it as uncharacterized. The record is from RefSeq and is a predicted model, not a curated record. The transcript is spliced from 3 exons. Lineage: Eukaryota; Viridiplantae; Streptophyta; Magnoliopsida; Brassicales; Brassicaceae.
GGUGGUCUGUGAGUCUGUGAGAUGAGAUCUCUGUAAUUCACGGUUGUAGAUCCCAACUGGCAGAAUCUGGUCACCAACCUCUUCAAGCACUUGUUUCAUAGAUGCUUGUUGUGGACAGACAAUGGCAAUGUGAGUAAGCGUUUUCAACAAAGAUGGGUCAGUGUGAAGCUGAAAGCCUGAUCCAGACCCAACAACAUAAUCCGUAAAGACGCAAGCCAACUUUAUUGUAACGAAAAAUUCUGAGACUUCUUUCAAUCUACUGAGACGUACUUGCAGUGAACAAAUAACUGUUCUUUUAGCAGAGGUUUCAGCAAUGGCAGUUGCGGGUCAUCUUCUUCCUUUGGUU